Molecule: long non-coding RNA, 86 nt
Organism: Melanotaenia boesemani (Boeseman's rainbowfish)
Lineage: Eukaryota; Metazoa; Chordata; Actinopteri; Atheriniformes; Melanotaeniidae
Exons: 4
Source: RefSeq, a predicted model, not a curated record
CCUCUGUUUGCACCUGUUCACCAGAAUCAGAAUACUUUAUUAAUCCCUGAGGAAAUUGUGUGCACAGAGUCGCUCCAUACCAAAUA